RNAcentral lists this ribosomal RNA (346 nucleotides) under uncultured bacterium. RNAcentral describes it as "bacterial SSU rRNA". It matches the Rfam family "Bacterial small subunit ribosomal RNA", at positions 28 to 334 of the family's 1533-position model. The record is from RNAcentral.
GAUGAACGCUGGCGGCAUGCCUAAGACAUGCAAGUCGUACGAAGUGGCCCAAUGACGAUUGAGUGCUUGCACAAGAUUUGAUUUGGAUUUUCACUUAGUGGCGGAAGGGUGAGUAACGCGUAGGUUAUCUGCCUUCGAGUCUGGAAUAACAGUUAGAAAUGAUUGCUAAUGCCGGAUUAUAUAUAAGGAGAUACGUUUCUUUAUAUUAAAAGGAGCCUUUAAAGCUUCGCUUGAAGAUGAGCCUGCGUCGUAUUAGCUAGUUGGUGAGGUAAUGGCUCACCAAGGCAACGAUGCGUAGCCGACCUGAGAGGGUGAUCGGCCACACUGGGACUGAGACACGGCCCAG